AAUCAACGCUGGCGGCGUGCCUAACACAUGCAAGUCGCACGAGAAAGGGGAGCAAUCCCUGAGUAAAGUGGCGCACGGGUGAGUAACACGUGAAUCAUCUACCUCCGAGUGGGGAAGUAACUGAGAGAAAUACUUAGCUAAUACCGCAUAACACUCACGAGUCAAAGCAGCAAUGCGCUUGGAGAGGAGUUCGCGGCCGAUUAGUUAGUUGGCGGGGUAAGNGG
Molecule: ribosomal RNA, 224 nt
Filed under: uncultured bacterium
Lineage: Bacteria
Description: partial 16S ribosomal RNA
Rfam family: Bacterial small subunit ribosomal RNA
Source: RNAcentral